GACGAACGCUGGCGGCGUGCUUAACACAUGCAAGUCGAGCGAGGCCCCUCCUUCGGGAGGGUGUCCUGGCGGCGAACGGGUGAGUAACACGUGGGCAACCUGCCCUCAGCUCUGGGAUAACUCCGGGAAACCGGGGCUAAUACCGGAUACGACCUCCACGGGCAUCUGCGGAGGUGGAAAGUUUUUCGGCUGAGGAUGGGCCUGCGGCCUAUCAGCUAGUUGGUGGGGUAGUGGCCCACCAAGGCGACGACGGGUAGCCGGCCUGGGAGGGCGACCGGCCACACUGGGACUGAGGCACGGCCCAGACUCCUACGGGAGGCAGCAGUGGGGAAUAUUGCGCAAUGGGCGAAAGCCUGACGCAGCGACGCCGCGUGAGGGACGAAGGCCUUCGGGUUGUAAACCUCUUUCAGCAGGGAUGAAGCGAAAGUGACGGUACCUGCAGAAGAAGCACCGGCCAACUACGUG
This 465-nucleotide ribosomal RNA is filed under the name uncultured bacterium. RNAcentral describes it as "partial 16S ribosomal RNA". It matches the Rfam family "Bacterial small subunit ribosomal RNA", at positions 28 to 507 of the family's 1533-position model. The record is from RNAcentral.